RNAcentral lists this ribosomal RNA (200 nucleotides) under uncultured bacterium. RNAcentral describes it as "partial 16S ribosomal RNA". It matches the Rfam family "Bacterial small subunit ribosomal RNA", at positions 8 to 210 of the family's 1533-position model. The record is from RNAcentral.
AGAGUUUGAUCCUGGCUCAGGAUAAACGCUGGCGGCGUGCCUAACACAUGCAAGUCGAACGCUCUCUGGGCAACCAGAGGGAGUGGCGGACGGGUGAGGAACACGUGGGUCAUCUACCUCUCAGUGAGGAAUACCGGCGAGAAAUCGCCGACAAGACCGCAUAGCCUUCGCGCGCUCGGGAGAGGGCGAAGGAAAGCUCU